Molecule: ribosomal RNA, 886 nt
Filed under: Pleurostoma ootheca
Lineage: Eukaryota; Fungi; Ascomycota; Sordariomycetes; Calosphaeriales; Pleurostomataceae
Description: partial large subunit ribosomal RNA
Rfam family: Eukaryotic large subunit ribosomal RNA
Source: RNAcentral
UUAUUUUUCACAUAGCGAGGAAAGAACCCAACAGGGAUUGCCCCAGUAACGGCGAGUGAAGCGGCAACAGCUCAAAUUUGAAAUCUGGCCUCGGCCCGAGUUGUAAUUUGCAGAGGAUGCUUCUGGCGCGGUGCCUUCCGAGUUCCCUGGAACGGGACGCCACAGAGGGUGAGAGCCCCGUAUGGUCGGACACCAAGCCAGUGUGAAGCUCCUUCGACGAGUCGAGUAGUUUGGGAAUGCUGCUCUAAGCGGGAGGUAUACGUCUUCUAAAGCUAAAUACCGGCCAGAGACCGAUAGCGCACAAGUAGAGUGAUCGAAAGAUGAAAAGCACCUUGAAAAGGGGGUUAAACAGUACGUGAAAUUGUUGAAAGGGAAGCGCCUGUGACCAGACUUGCGCCGGGCGGAUCAUCCAGCGUUCUCGCUGGUGCACUCCGCCCGGCUCAGGCCAGCAUCGGUUCUGGCAGGGGGACAAAGGCGGCGGGAACGUGGCUCCCCCGGGAGUGUUAUAGCCCGCCGUGCAAUGCCCCUGCCGGGACCGAGGUUCGCGCAUCUGCAAGGAUGCUGGCGUAAUGGUCACCAGCGACCCGUCUUGAAACACGGACCAAGGAGUCGUCCAUUACGGCGAGCGUUUGGGUGUAAAACCCCUGCGCGGAAUGAAAGUGAACGUAGGUGAGAGCUUCGGCGCAUCAUCGACCGAUCCUGAUGUUCUCGGAUGGAUUUGAGUAAGAGUCGUAACGGACGGACCCGAAAGAUGGUGAACUAUGCCUGUAUAGGGUGAAGCCAGAGGAAACUCUGGUGGAGGCUCGCAGCGGUUCUGACGUGCAAAUCGAUCGUCAAAUAUGGGCAUGGGGGCGAAAGACUAAUCGAACCUCUAUACUGUACGCCG